Molecule: signal recognition particle RNA, 100 nt
Filed under: Actinomycetes bacterium
Lineage: Bacteria; Bacillati; Actinomycetota; Actinomycetes
Description: signal recognition particle sRNA small type
Rfam family: Bacterial small signal recognition particle RNA
About the family: The signal recognition particle (SRP) is a universally conserved ribonucleoprotein involved in the co-translational targeting of proteins to membranes. Archaeal SRP consists of a 7S RNA and homologues of the eukaryotic SRP19 and SRP54 proteins.
Source: RNAcentral
GAUUGGGCCCCGUGCGUGUGACGCCUGUGAACCCCGUCAGGCCCGGAAGGGAGCAGCGGUAAGCGGGAGAGUCGCAGUGCCGCGGCCAAGCCUAAUCGGU